RNAcentral lists this long non-coding RNA (499 nucleotides) under Homo sapiens (human). Its description in RNAcentral is "non-protein coding lnc-NFKBIA-1:2". The record is from RNAcentral. Lineage: Eukaryota; Metazoa; Chordata; Mammalia; Primates; Hominidae.
ACCAGCUGCAUGGAUCCCAGCUGACUCGGUGGACACAGAAGCGGCGCCUGCUGGUUUCUGCCAUUUAUGCUUCAUCCUACACUAGGAGAGGUGCGCCCGCCGAGGGGAUGGGCCAGGCAGAUUGUGGGUCACACUGGACCCACAGCAUGUCAGGAACUGGGACCAGUUCUCGGUCAUCGCUGGGGAGAACCGUGACUGAGACAGACCCUCCGCCAGGUCUGGAGCAAGUCAGCCAGGAUCCUCCAGGCUCAAGAAUCUCAGUGGCACCAGCAAGCUAUUGGAGCUGGGCCUGCUCUCCCCAUCUACUCCCAAGUGGGGACUGGAACCCAGGGAGGAUGUGGCACCGGACAGAGGCUUCCAAUGGAGGCAACAGCUUGGUCCACCCACAUGGCGGCAGAUCCACGCAUCUCCCUGGACCUUCCGUGUCUGAGCGUCCAUCUGGGAGCCUCCACCAAGGGGCAUGAGAGAACAGAAGCGGAGGAAGACCCUGAGAGUUGGC